CGGGAAAAGCUCAAAUUUGAAAUCUGACGGUUACGCCGUCCGAGUUGUAUUCUGGAGAAGCGUUUUCCGUGCCGGACCGUGUACAAGUCCCUUGGAACAGGGCCGUCGUAGAGGGUGAGAAUCCCGUCUUUGACACGGACCCCCGGUGCUAUGCGAUGCGCUCUCGAA
Molecule: ribosomal RNA, 168 nt
Filed under: Trechispora sp.
Lineage: Eukaryota; Fungi; Basidiomycota; Agaricomycetes; Trechisporales; Hydnodontaceae
Description: partial large subunit ribosomal RNA
Rfam family: Eukaryotic large subunit ribosomal RNA
Source: RNAcentral